Molecule: long non-coding RNA, 212 nt
Organism: Bactrocera dorsalis (oriental fruit fly)
Lineage: Eukaryota; Metazoa; Arthropoda; Insecta; Diptera; Tephritidae
Exons: 3
Source: RefSeq, a predicted model, not a curated record
GUUCCCUGCAAGACGGAGGUAACAGAUUGCACAAAUACAUUGAAACAUUUUCAGCUGUUCACUAACACUGUUACAUUUUCUGGAAUUUUCAAUUGAAUGGGAGAAUACGAGAGACGAAUGCCCAAUUUUUCAAGAAGAAGAAAACGAAAAGCGCAGUUUAUUUUGGAUUUUAAAGAGAGAAACUAAAAGGCUUAACAAGGAGAAAAAGGUAA